AUACGUAGGGAGCGAGCGUUGUCCGGAAUUACUGGGUGUAAAGGGAGCGUAGGCGGGACUGCAAGUCAGAUGUGAAAUGUCGGGGCUCAACCCCGGAACUGCAUUUGAAACUGACGUUCUUGAGUAUCGGAGAGGCAGGGGGGAUUUCUUGGGGAGCGGUGAAAUGCGUAGAUAUUAGGAGGAACACCAGUGGCGAAGGCGGCCUGCUGGACGACAACUGACGCUGAGGCGCGAAAGCGUGGGGAGCAAACAGGAUUAGAUACCCUGGUAGUCCACGCUGUAAACGAUGAAUACUAGGUGUGGGGGGACUGACCCCUUCCAUGCCGGAGUAAACACAAUAAGUAUUCCACCUGGGGAGUACGGCCGCAAGGUUGAAACUCAAAUGAAUUGACGGGG
Molecule: ribosomal RNA, 396 nt
Filed under: uncultured bacterium
Lineage: Bacteria
Description: partial 16S ribosomal RNA
Rfam family: Bacterial small subunit ribosomal RNA
Source: RNAcentral